RNAcentral lists this ribosomal RNA (859 nucleotides) under Thelotrema trypethelioides. RNAcentral's name for it is "eukaryotic LSU rRNA". It matches the Rfam family "Eukaryotic large subunit ribosomal RNA", at positions 298 to 1131 of the family's 3401-position model. The record is from RNAcentral. Lineage: Eukaryota; Fungi; Ascomycota; Lecanoromycetes; Ostropales; Graphidaceae.
GGUAAUUUCAUCUAAAGCUAAAUAUCUGUCAGAGACCGAUAGCGCCAAGUAGAGUGAUCGAAAGAUGAAAAGCCUUUAAAAAGAGAGUCAACCAGUACGUGAAAUUGUGAAAGGGAAGCGCUUGCAACGAGACUCGUUCGCGGGUGUUCAGCCGUCCCUCGGGCGGUGCACUCUCCCGCGUUUCGGGCCAGCAUCGGUUUCGGCGGCCGGACAAAGGCCCCGGGAACGUAGCUCUCUUCGGAGAGUGUUAUAGCCCGGGGUGCAAUGCGGCCAGCCGGGACCGAGGAUCGCGCGUUCGCUAGGAUGCUGGCGUAAUCGUUGCCAGCGACCCGUCUUGAAACACGGACCAAGGAGUCGACCAAUCUGGCAAGUUUUAGGGCGUAAACCCCUGAAGCGCAAUGAAAGUGAACGUAGGUGGGAGCCUUCGGGUGCACCAUCGACCGAUCCUGAUGUCUUCGGAUGGAUUUGAGUAUGAGCCCGGCUGGUCGGACCCGGUACGUUUGCAAUAACCCCGCCAUGUGGAAAUAUCUACUAACUAAACUAUAGAAAGAUGGUGAACUAUGCGUGAAUAGGGUGAAGCCAGAGGAAACUCUGGUGGAGGCUCGCAGCGGUUCUGACGUGCAAAUCGAUCGUCAAAUUUGCGCAUAGGGGCGAAAGACUAAUCGAACUAUCUAGUAGCUGGUUCCCGUCGAAGUUUCCCUCAGGAUAGCAGCAACGAAAACAGUCUCAUGAGGUAGAGCAAACGAUUAGAGGUCUUGGGGUUGUAUUCGACCUUAACCUAUUCUCGAACUUCGAAUAUGUGAGAAGUCCUUGUUACUUAGUUGAACGUGGACAUUUGGAUGUGUCGUUGCUAGGGGCC